Non-coding RNA from Podarcis lilfordi (Lilford's wall lizard), 75 nucleotides. Lineage: Eukaryota; Metazoa; Chordata; Lepidosauria; Squamata; Lacertidae. The record is from the annotation of a GenBank genome assembly.
UAGUUGGCCAUAGCUCAGUGGCAGAGCAUGUGCCUUGUAUGUAGGAGGCCCCGGGUUCCAUGCCCAGCAACUCAA